Long non-coding RNA from Rhinopithecus roxellana (golden snub-nosed monkey), 1026 nucleotides. RefSeq lists it as uncharacterized. The transcript is spliced from 3 exons. NCBI's taxonomy places the organism in Eukaryota, Metazoa, Chordata, Mammalia, Primates, Cercopithecidae. The record is from RefSeq and is a predicted model, not a curated record.
GAAUGCACUGUAAACGCCUAGCAAGGGUAUAGAUGGGAGCCCUCUAGAUCUAGUGAGGGCAAACUCUCUGAGUCAUCUGAUCUCUGGGCUGGCUGCACUGCGGUGAUUUAAAAUGUGAAAUUCUUUGACACUCCUUUCAAAGGAUGAAGCCUGAUUCCUCUCCCCUGGAAUGUGGGCUGGACCUAGUGACAUGCUUCUAAGAGCUACAACAACACAGAAAUGAUGGUGUGUGACACGGGAGAGUAGGUGAUUCAUGGGUAUUACAGCUUCCUGCUUGCUCUCUCUGUCUCUGAGCCCUCCCUCUGCAGGAAGCCCGUGCCGUGUCCUGAGGACGGGUGAGCAGCCCAGUGGAGAGAUCUACCCGGUGAGGAACUGAAACCUCCCUGCAGUCAUGUGAGGGAGCCACCAUAGAGGCAGACCCUCCAGCCUGAGUCAAGCCUUCAGAUGACUGCAGAUGACAUCUUGACCACAACCUCAGAAUCGAUUCUGAGCCAGAACCACUCAGCUAAGCCACUCCCACAUUCCUGACUGUCAGAAACUGAGUGACAUAAUGACUCUGUGGUUUUAGGCUGCUAUAUCUGGGAGCAAUUUGUUCAACAGGAGUGGCACCUACCUGAAGUAUUAAUAGUUGUUGAGAGUCACCUUUCUCACCCCUUCACUUGAUGGCGCUGUUGUGCAACUGCAAACUCCUGUGGAGACGACUUGUCUCAUUGUACACCAGACAAGAGAUAAAAAGCAAGAUUUGAGAGAGGUUCAUGGAUCAACUGGCACCAUCUGCUUAGUUCUACAAAGUGGAGUUUCUGGGUAUCAUUCUCCAUUUCUGUACACAAAGUGCUGUGAAGCUCAAGAAGAAACAGUUCUGCGCAGGAUUCACCAUAUAAAAAUGCUAACAUCUGACAAACUGGACCACUCAAAGAGAAGACACCAGAGCUGGGUCGGGCACAGUGGCUCACGUCUGUAAUCCCAGCACUUUGGGAGGCCAAGGCGGGCAGAUCAUGAGGUCAGGAGAUCGAGACCAUCCUGGCC